RNAcentral lists this ribosomal RNA (253 nucleotides) under uncultured bacterium. Its description in RNAcentral is "partial 16S ribosomal RNA". It matches the Rfam family "Bacterial small subunit ribosomal RNA", at positions 524 to 776 of the family's 1533-position model. The record is from RNAcentral.
UACGGAGGGGGCUAGCGUUGUUCGGAAUUACUGGGCGUAAAGCGCACGUAGGCGGCUUUUCAAGUCAGAGGUGAAAGCCCGGGGCUCAACCCCGGAAUUGCCUUUGAGACUGAGAGGCUAGCAGGUGAGAGAGGUGAGUGGAAUUCCGAGUGUAGAGGUGAAAUUCGUAGAUAUUCGGAAGAACACCAGUGGCGAAGGCGGCUCACUGGCUCAUACUGGACGCUGAGGUGCGAAAGCGUGGGGAGCAAACAGG